CAGUGCCCAGCUGGGCCUGGGGCCUGGAAACACUCACUGCCCUCGUUCGACGGCCUGGAGAAGCACCUACCUCGCUGCUGGAGAGAAGCAGACACUGCAGGGCUGGAGAAGGAAAAGGUCUCAUGUGCUGAGAGAGAAUCACCUCCCCGUGGACUCAGAGAGGAAACAGGAAAAUCCGAACAGAAGAGUCCACUGCUGCCAACCCAAGACCAGAGCCACAGGCACUCCCCGCUUCUGUUUUAUAGACCAUGCCAGGACAAGUGGAACAGGCUGAAACCAGGACACUGAACUUCAUCCACCAAGCCACACUCUCAUAGACCCGAGCUUUGAUUCACAACCAGCCAGCAGCCUGUUUCUGUAGAUGGGGCUGGGGAGGAAGGAGGAUGCUGGCCGUGCUACUGUUCUGCGAACUGAGAGCCCUGCGUAGAGGGCACUCCACUUCGUUCCACAAAUGCAAAUAACCGGAUCCAUCAAGCCUUCA
Molecule: long non-coding RNA, 481 nt
Organism: Gorilla gorilla gorilla (western lowland gorilla)
Lineage: Eukaryota; Metazoa; Chordata; Mammalia; Primates; Hominidae
Exons: 3
Source: RefSeq, a predicted model, not a curated record